RNAcentral lists this ribosomal RNA (487 nucleotides) under uncultured bacterium. Its description in RNAcentral is "partial 16S ribosomal RNA". It matches the Rfam family "Bacterial small subunit ribosomal RNA", at positions 28 to 507 of the family's 1533-position model. The record is from RNAcentral.
GACGAACGCUGGCGGCGUGCUUAACACAUGCAAGUCGUACGAUGACCCGGCUCUUCGGCGCUGGUGAUUAGUGGCGAACGGGUGAGUAACACGUGGGUGACCCGCCCUGCACUCUGGGAUAAGCCCGGGAAACUGGGUCUAAUACUGGAUACGACCAGUGGCCGCAUGGUCUGCUGGUGGAAAGCCCUUCGGGGUGGUGUGGGAUGGGCCCGCGGCCUAUCAGCUUGUUGGUGGGGUGAUGGCCUACCAAGGCGACGACGGGUAGCCGGCCUGAGAGGGUGUCCGGCCACACUGGGACUGAGACACGGCCCAGACUCCUACGGGAGGCAGCAGUGGGGAAUCUAGCACAAUGGGCGAAAGCCUGAUGCAGCGACGCCGCGUGAGGGAUGACGGCCUUCGGGUUGUAAACCUCUUUCGGCAGGGAACAAGCCUGGGGGUUGUCUUCUGGGUGAGGGUACCAGCGGAAGAAGCACCGGCUAACUACGUG